RNAcentral lists this unclassified non-coding RNA (324 nucleotides) under Hevea brasiliensis (rubber tree). The record is from RNAcentral. Lineage: Eukaryota; Viridiplantae; Streptophyta; Magnoliopsida; Malpighiales; Euphorbiaceae.
UGGAUCUUGCAAGGUUGCCCACUUGAAAUUGUUCCAUUUUCCACUCAUGUUAUGUGCAUUUUUUAAAAGGGUGAAGAGAGAGAGAGAGAGAGAUAAGAGAGAGCUUGAAGGCGUAGUUUGACCUUAUGAGCCGUGAUAAGAUAAUACAAAGAUGCCUGGUGGAUUGGGGUGUUGGGUGAUACUUAUAGCCACUAUUGAACGUAGUGGGGCUGAGGUUGCGAUGAUGGAUUUGGGCGUUGUGGAGAAUUUGAAGGCGCGUAAAUGUGUCUAUGACUUCUGAGAGUACAUACGUGACACACCUACAUUGGCAAAUGUAACGCAAAG